This 405-nucleotide ribosomal RNA is filed under the name Flexicrurum minutum. Its description in RNAcentral is "partial 16S ribosomal RNA". Lineage: Eukaryota; Metazoa; Arthropoda; Arachnida; Araneae; Ochyroceratidae. The record is from RNAcentral.
CCUGCUCAAUGUAAAAUAAAUAGCCGCAGAAAUUCUGUGCUAAGGUAGCAUAAUAACUUGUUUUUUAAUUAAAAAAUAGAAUGAAAGGAAAAACGAAUUAUUACCUUUUUUAUUUAUAACAUAUUAAACUAUUUUAAAUGUAAAAAAACAUUUAUAUAAAGAAUAGACGAUAAGACCCUAAUGAAUUUCACUUAAAGUUUAGCUGGGGAGGCUAAUAUAAUGAAAACUUAAACUCAUCUUUAAAAUACAAUAUUAAAAUUAAUAAAAUUACCAUAGGGAUAACAGCGUAAUUUAAUAAUAAAGCUCUUAUACAAUAUUAAGAUUACGACCUCGAUGUUGAAUUAUUAUUACUAAUAUAAGAAAAAAUAUUCUAAGUAAGUCUGUUCGACUUUUAAACUAAUACAU